AUUGAACGCUGGCGGCAGGCUUAACACAUGCAAGUCGAGCGGGGGAAGGUAGCUUGCUACCGGACCUAGCGGCGGACGGGUGAGUAAUGCUUAGGAAUCUGCCUAUUAGUGGGGGACAACAUCUCGAAAGGGAUGCUAAUACCGCAUACGUCCUACGGGAGAAAGCAGGGGAUCUUCGGACCUCGCGCUAAUAGAUGAGCCUAAGUGGGAUUAGCUAGUUGGUGGGGUAAAGGCCUACCAAAGCGACGAUCUGUAGCUGGUCUGAGAGGAUGAUCCGCCACACUGGGACUGAGACACGGCCCAGACUCCUACGGGAGGCAGCAGUGGGGAAUAUUGGACAAUGGGGGGAAGCCUGAUCCAGCCAUGCCGCGUGUGUGAAGAAGGCCUUAUGGUUGUAAGCACUUUAAGCGAGGAGGAGGCUCCUUUAGUUAAUAACUAGAGAUAGUUGACGUUACUCGCAGAAUAAGCACCGGCUAACUCUGUGCCAGCCGCCGCGGUAA
RNAcentral lists this ribosomal RNA (500 nucleotides) under uncultured bacterium. RNAcentral describes it as "partial 16S ribosomal RNA". It matches the Rfam family "Bacterial small subunit ribosomal RNA", at positions 30 to 523 of the family's 1533-position model. The record is from RNAcentral.